UGGGUGGAUCAGUGGCGAACGGGUGAGUAACACGUGAGCAAUCUGCCCCUGACUCUGGGAUAAGCGCUGGAAACGGCGUCUAAUACUGGAUACGAACCGUGGAGGCAUCUUCAACGGUUGGAAAGAUUUUUUGGUCAGGGAUGAGCUCGCGGCCUAUCAGCUUGUUGGUGAGGUAAUGGCUCACCAAGGCGUCGACGGGUAGCCGGCCUGAGAGGGUGACCGGCCACACUGGGACUGAGACACGGCCCAGACUCCUACGGGAGGCAGCAGUGGGGAAUAUUGCACAAUGGGCGAAAGCCUGAUGCAGCAACGCCGCGUGAGGGAUGACGGCCUUCGGGUUGUAAACCUCUUUUAGCAGGGAAGAAGCGAAAGUGACGGUACCUGCAGAAAAAGCGCCGGCUAACUACGUGCCAGCAGCCGCGGUAAUACGUAGGGCGCAAGCGUUAUCCGGAAUUAUUGGGCGUAAAGAGCUCGUAGGCGGUUUGUCGCGUCUGCUGUGAAAUCCCGAGGCUCAACUUCGGGUCUGCAGUGGGUACGGGCAGACUAGAGUGCGGUAGGGGAGAUUGGAAUUCCUGGUGUAGCGGUGGAAUGCGCAGAUAUCAGGAGGAACACCGAUGGCGAAGGCAGAUCUCUGGGCCGUAACUGACGCUGAGGAGCGAAAGGGUGGGGAGCAAACAGGCUUAGAUACCC
Molecule: ribosomal RNA, 690 nt
Filed under: Microbacterium laevaniformans
Lineage: Bacteria; Bacillati; Actinomycetota; Actinomycetes; Micrococcales; Microbacteriaceae
Description: bacterial SSU rRNA
Rfam family: Bacterial small subunit ribosomal RNA
Source: RNAcentral